This is a long non-coding RNA of Etheostoma spectabile (orangethroat darter), 629 nucleotides long. RefSeq lists it as uncharacterized. The transcript is spliced from 2 exons. NCBI's taxonomy places the organism in Eukaryota, Metazoa, Chordata, Actinopteri, Perciformes, Percidae. The record is from RefSeq and is a predicted model, not a curated record.
UCACUGUGUCCAGGGUUGGAGAAGUUUGCAGGUCGUCAAGAAAAUGUAAUUCUUCGAGACAGAAACGGUAAUACUUCACCGAUAAGUGUGCAUUGUAAAUACAUCUAAUGAGUUAUGAGUUGCUAGCUCGCGCUUCUCUUUUGAGUAUACUUUUAAACGACGUUUAGCUAGUUAACUAGCUAGUAACGUUAGCCGAACGUUAGCUUGUAUCGCUGCACGUGGAUGUCCCUGUUCGGUAAUUGGCUAGGUCAACUGAAGAAAGGGAGUUUAGGUGAAAGGACCAGUGUGGACCUGAUGGCAUGUACGUGAUGCAUUUCUGUUAUAUAAUUAAGUGAAUAGCCAUCCCAAUGAUUAUAUCAAUCACUACCCAUCUGACCCAUUCAUAUGUUUGGGAAAGAUUAUUCAUGAGCUUCUAAAUGAGGGUUUUUGGCAUUUUAUUCCCAUCGGAAGAGCUUGCUGCUCCUGUGUGAAAGUAACUUUACUUUAACAUCUGCUUUGUUCUUUCAGGGUCGACCUGCUGCGGUGAAAGUGAGUAGAGAGGAUUCUCGAAACAUCUAGCAAAAGCACGUGACCGGUUUGUAUUUAUUUUGAGAGAAUUCAUUACCAAAUAAACACAUUGUGAAGCAGAA